AUUUAUAUAGUAUAAAAAUUAUAUUUGACUUCCAAUCAGAAGACCUACAAAAUAGUAGUAUAAAUU
RNAcentral lists this transfer RNA (66 nucleotides) under Agrilus adelphinus. RNAcentral describes it as "tRNA-Gly". The record is from RNAcentral. Lineage: Eukaryota; Metazoa; Arthropoda; Insecta; Coleoptera; Buprestidae.